RNAcentral lists this ribosomal RNA (250 nucleotides) under uncultured bacterium. RNAcentral's name for it is "partial 16S ribosomal RNA". It matches the Rfam family "Bacterial small subunit ribosomal RNA", at positions 355 to 622 of the family's 1533-position model. The record is from RNAcentral.
GGGGGAAUAUUGGACAAUGGGGGCAACCCUGAUCCAGCCAUGCCGCGUGAGUGACGAAGGCCUUAGGGUUGUAAAGCUCUUUCACCCGUGAAGAUGAUGACGGUAGCGGGAGAAGAAGCCCCGGCUAACUCCGUGCCAGCAGCCGCGGUAAUACGGAGGGGGCGAGCGUUGUUCGGAAUUCCUGGGCGUAAAGGGCGCGUAGGCGGCCGGUCGCGUUAGGUGUGAAAGCCCCGGGCUCAACCUGGGAACU